RNAcentral lists this non-coding RNA (185 nucleotides) under Synechococcus sp. RSCCF101. RNAcentral's name for it is "6S / SsrS RNA". It matches the Rfam family "6S / SsrS RNA". From Rfam's summary of the family: E. coli 6S RNA was the first non coding RNA to be sequenced, but its function was unknown until recently. It consists of 184 nucleotides that fold into an extended hairpin structure with a large single-stranded internal bulge. The 6S RNA specifically associates with RNA polymerase holoenzyme containing the sigma70 specificity factor. Lineage: Bacteria; Bacillati; Cyanobacteriota; Cyanophyceae; Synechococcales; Synechococcaceae. The record is from Rfam by way of RNAcentral.
CGCGGACUGCGGCGUUGGUGACUGCCUUUCACAGUUUUCUGAUCUGACUCUCUUUUCGACAUGGGGAGGAUGUCGUGGUUGGGACGUAAACCGGCCUUCGCAGCCGGAAACGAAACGCCACUGUUCCGCCCCUUCUGGCACGACCAGGUCGAAACACUGGGGCAAGACGGCACUGUGGUCCACCC